Molecule: ribosomal RNA, 1234 nt
Filed under: metagenome
Description: bacterial LSU rRNA
Rfam family: Bacterial large subunit ribosomal RNA
Source: RNAcentral
UGAGUACGAGAUGCUACGGCAUUGAAGCAGUCUAUGUCAUACUUCCAAGAAAAGCUUGCACUGUCAUAAACAAAGAAUGCCUGUACCAUAACCGACACAGGUGGGUAGGUAGAGUAUACUAAGGGGCGCGAGAUAACUCUCUCUAAGGAACUCGGCAAAAUGACUCCGUAACUUCGGGAGAAGGAGUGCCUUAUUUUUAAGGUUGCAAUAACAAGAUCCAAGCAACUGUUUAUCAAAAACACAGGUCUCCGCUAAGUCGUAAGACGAUGUAUGGGGGCUGACGCCUGCCCAGUGCCAGAAGGUUAAAGAAGUUGGUUAGCAUUCGCGAAGCUGAUAACUGAAGCCCUGGUGAACGGCGGCCGUAACAAUGACGGUCCUAAGGUAGCGAAAUUCCUUGUCGGGUAAGUUCCGACCCGCACGAAAGGCGUAAUGAUUUGGAUACUGUCUCGGAGAGGGACUCGGUGAAAUAGACUUGUCUGUGAAGAUGCGGACUACCUGCACCUGGACAGAAAGACCCUAUGAAGCUUUACUGUAACUUGAAAUUGAAAUUGGACUUUAGUUGCGCAGGAUAGGUGGGAGGCGUUGAGAAUAUUCUUGCGGGAGUAUUGGAGCCAUCAGUGAGAUACCACUCUUCUAAUGUUAGAUUUCUAACUUUGUAUCAUUAUCUGGUCAAAGAACAGUUUCAGGCGGGCAGUUUGACUGGGGCGGUCGCCUCCUAAAGGGUAACGGAGGCGCACAAAGGUUUCCUCUGAACGAGUAGAAAUCGUAUCUAGAGUGUAAAGGCAUAAGGAAGCUUGACUGUGAGACCUACAAGUCGAGCAGGGACGAAAGUCGGUCUUAGUGAUCUGACGGUGCUGAGUGGAAAGGCCGUCACUCAACGGAUAAAAGUUACUCUAGGAUAACAGGCUGAUCUCCCCCAAGAGUUCACAUCGACGGGGAGGUUUGGCACCUCGAUGUCGGCUCAUCGCAUCCUGGGGCGGUAGUACGUCCCAAGGGUUGGGCUGUUCGCCCAUGAAAGCGGUACGCGAGCUGGGUUCAGAACGUCGUGAGACAGUUCGGUCCAUAUCCGGUGUAGGCGUUAGAAUAUUGAGAGGAGCCUUCUCUAGUACGAGAGGACCGAGAAGGACAUACCUCUAGUGUACCAGUUAUCGUGCCAACGGUAAACGCUGGGUAGCUAUGUAUGGAGUGGAUAAUCGCUGAAAGCAUCUAAGUGGGAAGCCCACCUCAAGAUAAG